GUAGGUGAAGUGAUUUACUCAUGGAGCUGAAGUCAGUCGAAGAUACCAGCUGGCUGCAACUGUUUAUUAAAAACACAGCACUGUGCAAACACGAAAGUGGACGUAUACGGUGUGACGCCUGCCCGGUGCCGGAAGGUUAAUUGAUGGGGUCAGCGCAAGCGAAGCUCCUGAUCGAAGCCCCGGUAAACGGCGGCCGUAACUAUAACGGUCCUAAGGUAGCGAAAUUCCUUGUCGGGUAAGUUCCGACCUGCACGAAUGGCGUAAUGAUGGCCAGGCUGUCUCCACCCGAGACUCAGUGAAAUUGAACUCGCUGUGAAGAUGCAGUGUACCCGCGGCAAGACGGAAAGACCCCGUGAACCUUUACUAUAGCUUGACACUGAACAUUGAGCCUUGAUGUGUAGGAUAGGUGGGAGGCUUUGAAGUGUGGACGCCAGUCUGCAUGGAGCCGACCUUGAAAUACCACCCUUUAAUGUUUGAUGUUCUAACGUGGACCCGUAAUCCGGGUUGCGGACAGUGUCUGGUGGGUAGUUUGACUGGGGCGGUCUCCUCCUAAAGAGUAACGGAGGAGCACGAAGGUUGGCUAAUCCUGGUCGGACAUCAGGAGGUUAGUGCAAUGGCAUAAGCCAGCUUGACUGCGAGCGUGACGGCGCGAGCAGGUGCGAAAGCAGGUCAUAGUGAUCCGGUGGUUCUGAAUGGAAGGGCCAUCGCUCAACGGAUAAAAGGUACUCCGGGGAUAACAGGCUGAUACCGCCCAAGAGUUCAUAUCGACGGCGGUGUUUGGCACCUCGAUGUCGGCUCAUCACAUCCUGGGGCUGAAGUAGGUCCCAAGGGUAUGGCUGUUCGCCAUUUAAAGUGGUACGCGAGCUGGGUUUAGAACGUCGUGAGACAGUUCGGUCCCUAUCUGCCGUGGGCGCUGGAGAACUGAGGGGGGCUGCUCCUAGUACGAGAGGACCGGAGUGGACGCAUCACUGGUGUUCGGGUUGUCAUGCCAAUGGCACUGCCCGGUAGCUAAAUGCGGAAGAGAUAAGUGCUGAAAGCAUCUAAGCACGAAACUUGCCCCGAGAUGAGUUCUCCCUGAGACUUAGAGUCUCCUGAAGGAACGUUGAAGACGACGACGUUGAUAGGCCGGGUGUGUAAGCGCAGCGAUGCGUUGAGCUAACCGGUACUAAUGAACCGUGAGGCUUAACCUUACA
Molecule: ribosomal RNA, 1193 nt
Filed under: Salmonella enterica subsp. enterica serovar Typhimurium
Lineage: Bacteria; Pseudomonadati; Pseudomonadota; Gammaproteobacteria; Enterobacterales; Enterobacteriaceae
Description: partial 23S ribosomal RNA
Rfam family: Bacterial large subunit ribosomal RNA
Source: RNAcentral